RNAcentral lists this ribosomal RNA (165 nucleotides) under uncultured bacterium. RNAcentral's name for it is "partial 16S rRNA". It matches the Rfam family "Bacterial small subunit ribosomal RNA", at positions 355 to 511 of the family's 1533-position model. The record is from RNAcentral.
UAGGGAAUCUUCGGCAAUGGACGAAAGUCUGACCGAGCAACGCCGCGUGAGUGAAGAAGGUUUUCGGAUCGUAAAACUCUGUUGGUAGGGAAGAACGUUGGUGAGAGUGGAAAGCUCAUCAAGUGACGGUAACUACCCAGAAAGGGACGGCUAACUACGUGACAG